This 449-nucleotide ribosomal RNA is filed under the name uncultured bacterium. RNAcentral describes it as "partial 16S ribosomal RNA". It matches the Rfam family "Bacterial small subunit ribosomal RNA", at positions 29 to 523 of the family's 1533-position model. The record is from RNAcentral.
AACGAACGCUGGCGGCAUGCCUAAUACAUGCAAGUCGAACGAGAUCUUCGGAUCUAGUGGCGCACGGGUGCGUAACGCGUGGGAAUCUGCCCUUGGGUUCGGAAUAACGUCGGGAAACUGACGCUAAUACCGGAUGAUGACGUAAGUCCAAAGAUUUAUCGCCCAAGGAUGAGCCCGCGUAGGAUUAGCUAGUUGGUGGGGUAAAGGCCCACCAAGGCGACGAUCCUUAGCUGGUCUGAGAGGAUGAUCAGCCACACUGGGACUGAGACACGGCCCAGACUCCUACGGGAGGCAGCAGUAGGGAAUAUUGGACAAUGGGGGCAACCCUGAUCCAGCAAUGCCGCGUGAGUGAUGAAGGCCUUAGGGUUGUAAAGCUCUUUUACCCGGGAUGAUAAUGACAGUACCGGGAGAAUAAGCCCCGGCUAACUCCGUGCCAGCCGCCGCGGUAA